This 2931-nucleotide ribosomal RNA is filed under the name Enterobacter cloacae. Its description in RNAcentral is "bacterial LSU rRNA". It matches the Rfam family "Bacterial large subunit ribosomal RNA". The record is from RNAcentral. Lineage: Bacteria; Pseudomonadati; Pseudomonadota; Gammaproteobacteria; Enterobacterales; Enterobacteriaceae. RNAcentral also lists the same sequence under 1 other name.
GGGUUGUGAGGUUAAGCGACUAAGCGUACACGGUGGAUGCCCUGGCAGUCAGAGGCGAUGAAGGACGUGCUAAUCUGCGAAAAGCGCCGGCGAGGUGAUAUGAACCUUUGACCCGGCGAUGUCCGAAUGGGGAAACCCAGUGUGUUCCGACACACUAUCGUUAACUGAAUACAUAGGUUAACGAGGCGAACCGGGGGAACUGAAACAUCUAAGUACCCCGAGGAAAAGAAAUCAACCGAGAUUCCCCCAGUAGCGGCGAGCGAACGGGGAGCAGCCCAGAGUCUGAAUCAGCUUGUGUGUUAGUGGAAGCGUCUGGAAAGUCGCACGGUACAGGGUGACAGUCCCGUACACGAAAAUGCACAGGUUGUGAACUCGAAGAGUAGGGCGGGACACGUGGUAUCCUGUCUGAAUAUGGGGGGACCAUCCUCCAAGGCUAAAUACUCCUGACUGACCGAUAGUGAACCAGUACCGUGAGGGAAAGGCGAAAAGAACCCCGGCGAGGGGAGUGAAAAAGAACCUGAAACCGUGUACGUACAAGCAGUGGGAGCACCUUCGUGGUGUGACUGCGUACCUUUUGUAUAAUGGGUCAGCGACUUAUAUUCUGUAGCAAGGUUAACCGUAUAGGGGAGCCGAAGGGAAACCGAGUCUUAACUGGGCGUUAAGUUGCAGGGUAUAGACCCGAAACCCGGUGAUCUAGCCAUGGGCAGGUUGAAGGUUGGGUAACACUAACUGGAGGACCGAACCGACUAAUGUUGAAAAAUUAGCGGAUGACUUGUGGCUGGGGGUGAAAGGCCAAUCAAACCGGGAGAUAGCUGGUUCUCCCCGAAAGCUAUUUAGGUAGCGCCUCGUGAACUCAUCUUCGGGGGUAGAGCACUGUUUCGGCUAGGGGGCCAUCCCGGCUUACCAACCCGAUGCAAACUACGAAUACCGAAGAAUGUUAUCACGGGAGACACACGGCGGGUGCUAACGUCCGUCGUGAAGAGGGAAACAACCCAGACCGCCAGCUAAGGUCCCAAAGUCAUGGUUAAGUGGGAAACGAUGUGGGAAGGCACAGACAGCCAGGAUGUUGGCUUAGAAGCAGCCAUCAUUUAAAGAAAGCGUAAUAGCUCACUGGUCGAGUCGGCCUGCGCGGAAGAUGUAACGGGGCUAAACCAUGCACCGAAGCUGCGGCAGCGACGCUUAUGCGUUGUUGGGUAGGGGAGCGUUCUGUAAGCCGUUGAAGGUGUGCUGUGAGGCAUGCUGGAGGUAUCAGAAGUGCGAAUGCUGACAUAAGUAACGAUAAAGCGGGUGAAAAGCCCGCUCGCCGGAAGACCAAGGGUUCCUGUCCAACGUUAAUCGGGGCAGGGUGAGUCGACCCCUAAGGCGAGGCCGAAAGGCGUAGUCGAUGGGAAACAGGUUAAUAUUCCUGUACUUGGUGUUACUGCGAAGGGGGGACGGAGAAGGCUAUGUUAGCCGGGCGACGGUUGUCCCGGUUUAAGCAUGUAGGCGGAGGUUCCAGGUAAAUCCGGUACCUUUUAACGCUGAGGUGUGAUGACGAGGCACUACGGUGCUGAAGUAACAAAUGCCCUGCUUCCAGGAAAAGCCUCUAAGCAUCAGGUAACAUCAAAUCGUACCCCAAACCGACACAGGUGGUCAGGUAGAGAAUACCAAGGCGCUUGAGAGAACUCGGGUGAAGGAACUAGGCAAAAUGGUGCCGUAACUUCGGGAGAAGGCACGCUGAUAUGUAGGUGAAGCCCCUGCGGGUGGAGCUGAAAUCAGUCGAAGAUACCAGCUGGCUGCAACUGUUUAUUAAAAACACAGCACUGUGCAAACACGAAAGUGGACGUAUACGGUGUGACGCCUGCCCGGUGCCGGAAGGUUAAUUGAUGGGGUUAGCGGCAACGCGAAGCUCUUGAUCGAAGCCCCGGUAAACGGCGGCCGUAACUAUAACGGUCCUAAGGUAGCGAAAUUCCUUGUCGGGUAAGUUCCGACCUGCACGAAUGGCGUAAUGAUGGCCAGGCUGUCUCCACCCGAGACUCAGUGAAAUUGAACUCGCUGUGAAGAUGCAGUGUACCCGCGGCAAGACGGAAAGACCCCGUGAACCUUUACUAUAGCUUGACACUGAACACUGGUCCUUGAUGUGUAGGAUAGGUGGGAGGCUUUGAAGUGUGGACGCCAGUCUGCAUGGAGCCGUCCUUGAAAUACCACCCUUUAAUGGCUGGUGUUCUAACGUAGACCCGUGAUCCGGGUUGCGGACAGUGUCUGGUGGGUAGUUUGACUGGGGCGGUCUCCUCCCAAAGAGUAACGGAGGAGCACGAAGGUUAGCUAAUCCUGGUCGGACAUCAGGAGGUUAGUGCAAUGGCAUAAGCUAGCUUGACUGCGAGAGUGACGGCUCGAGCAGGUGCGAAAGCAGGUCAUAGUGAUCCGGUGGUUCUGAAUGGAAGGGCCAUCGCUCAACGGAUAAAAGGUACUCCGGGGAUAACAGGCUGAUACCGCCCAAGAGUUCAUAUCGACGGCGGUGUUUGGCACCUCGAUGUCGGCUCAUCACAUCCUGGGGCUGAAGUAGGUCCCAAGGGUAUGGCUGUUCGCCAUUUAAAGUGGUACGCGAGCUGGGUUUAGAACGUCGUGAGACAGUUCGGUCCCUAUCUGCCGUGGGCGCUGGAGAAUUGAGGGGGGCUGCUCCUAGUACGAGAGGACCGGAGUGGACGCAUCACUGGUGUUCGGGUUGUCAUGCCAAUGGCACUGCCCGGUAGCUAAAUGCGGAAAAGAUAAGUGCUGAAAGCAUCUAAGCACGAAACUUGCCCCGAGAUGAGUUCUCCCUGAGACUUUAAGUCUCCUGAAGGAACGUUGAAGACGACGACGUUGAUAGGUCGGGUGUGUAAGCGCAGCGAUGCGUUGAGCUAACCGAUACUAAUGAACCGUGAGGCUUAACCUUACAACGCCGAAGCUGUU